This 471-nucleotide ribosomal RNA is filed under the name actinomycete S23403. RNAcentral describes it as "bacterial SSU rRNA". It matches the Rfam family "Bacterial small subunit ribosomal RNA", at positions 28 to 508 of the family's 1533-position model. The record is from RNAcentral. Lineage: Bacteria; Bacillati; Actinomycetota; Actinomycetes; Actinomycetales.
GACGAACGCUGGCGGCGUGCUUAACACAUGCAAGUCGAACGGUGACCUCGAGAGCUUGCUCUUGGGUGAUCAGUGGCGAACGGGUGAGUAACACGUGAGUAACCUGCCCCAGACUCUGGAAUAACCCCGGGAAACCGGAGCUAAUACCGGAUACGAGACGGAGCCGCAUGGCUACCGUUUGGAAAGUUUUUCGGUCUGGGAUGGACUCGCGGCCUAUCAGCUAGUUGGUGAGGUAACGGCUCACCAAGGCGACGACGGGUAGCCGGCCUGAGAGGGCGACCGGCCACACUGGGACUGAGACACGGCCCAGACUCCUACGGGAGGCAGCAGUGGGGAAUAUUGCACAAUGGGCGAAAGCCUGAUGCAGCGACGCCGCGUGAGGGAUGACGGCCUUCGGGUUGUAAACCUCUUUCAGCAGGGAAGAAGCGAAAGUGACGGUACCUGCAGAAGAAGCACCGGCUAACUACGUGC